This 107-nucleotide small nuclear RNA is filed under the name Moschus moschiferus (Siberian musk deer). The record is from RNAcentral. Lineage: Eukaryota; Metazoa; Chordata; Mammalia; Artiodactyla; Moschidae.
GUGCUUGUUUUGGCAGCACAUAUACUAAAAUUGGAAUAAUACAGAGAAGAUUAGCACGGUCCCUGUGCAAAGAUAACAAAAAAACAAAACAAAACAGUGUGGUAUUG